RNAcentral lists this long non-coding RNA (999 nucleotides) under Marmota monax (woodchuck). Lineage: Eukaryota; Metazoa; Chordata; Mammalia; Rodentia; Sciuridae. The record is from RNAcentral.
CUGCCAGCCCUGUGAGAUUACGGAUAGAUUCUGCUAAGAGUAAUAACCUGACUCCCAGAAUCCUACAUGUAUGGGAAGUAGCAGGCUAGGGGAGCAGAUAUACUGAGAUCGGGGUGUUAUAAAGCCUGAGCCAGGAAAGAGAUUGAUGUCACCGUGUUAGAGAGCAACACACUCCGCAGAGUGCAGGAUGGGCUGUCUCCCUGUUACUGGGAGCUUGUAACCUACCAAGAAACAUAAGAGGUGACUUGACGUUACAAGCUGCGAGCCACCUGCCCUAAGAAAGUGAGGAUUUAAGUCUUUGGUACAAAAGGAUCAUUCAAACUGCCUGACUAUUCAUCAGGAAGGAGUUCUGUGACACUCCAAAGAGACAGAGACCUCUCGUUUCUGAGGAACCAGGGCAUCUUUUAGAGAAGCCAUUGGAAAUGGCUAUUUUAAAUUUUUCUCAAAAAAGCGAUCUUUGUAGGAAAUGGACAUAGGCAUGGGGUUUCUGGCAGAAAAAUGUGUUUGGUCUCUGCCUUGGAGAAGACCCCCGGCAAGAAGCAUGUCUCUCCCAACAUUUCUUAUAAGUUUUUUUUGUUUGUUUGUUUGUUGGUUUGGUUUGGUUUGGUUCCGGUACCAGAGAUUGAACCCCAGGGCGCUCACAGCCCCAGCCCUUUUUUUUUUAAAUUUAGAGACAGGGUCUCACCAAGUUGCUUAGGGUCUCGCUAAGUUGCUGAGGCUAGCUGUGAACUCGAGAUCCUCCUGCCUCAGCCUCCCAAGCCUCUAGGAUUACAGGUGUGCACCGCUGUGCCCCUGCCUCUCCCACUCUCCCAGCCUUUCUCAACCAUGACCCUCGUCCCUGCUAAGAGCAACUGUGUCAUUCUUGUAUGUUUUAAAAUGUAUACAUAUAUUUUAUAUUUAUAUAUUAAGCUUAUAUUAUAUUAUAUAUCUCUCAGCUUCACGCUAACCAUGUGCCCUACCACUGGGCUGCACUCCAGACCAGAGGCAUUCCUUUCCGCU